This is a long non-coding RNA of Equus caballus (horse), 1820 nucleotides long. The record is from Ensembl. NCBI's taxonomy places the organism in Eukaryota, Metazoa, Chordata, Mammalia, Perissodactyla, Equidae.
CUGAUAGCAACAAAUUCUUAGUAUUCCUUCAUUUAAGAAUGUCUUUAUUUUCUCUUCAUUUCUUAAAAAUACUUUCGUAUGUUAUCAUUUGCUCUUGACAGUUCUUUUCUUUCAGCACUGAAAAAUGUUGUUCCACUUCCUUGCAUCCGCCAUGAUUCUGGAUGAAAAAUCCUCAGUUACUCAAAUUGUUUUCCUCCUACAGGUGGGACACCUACCAAAGCAUGGCGUGCCAAGUGGUGCCAUGUCCGCACCCAGGAUCCGAACCCACGAACCCCAGGCCGCAGAGAAGUGGAACGUGGGAACUUAACCGCUGCGCCACUGGGCCAGCCCUCAGCACUUUUGAACAUGUGGCCUGUAAGAUUUCUGCAGAGACAUCCCCUGAUACCCUUAUGUGGUUUCCCUCAUAUGUGACGAUUUUCUUUCUGUCGCUGCUUUUAAAAUUCUCUUUGUCAUUGAUUUUAGAUAGUUUUAUUAUAACGUAUCUUGGAAAAGAUUGUUUUGGGUUGAUAUCUUGGGGGUACCUAUGAUCUUCGUGAACUUGGAUGUCCAAAUCUCUUUCCAGAUUUGGGAAGUUCUCAGCCAUUUUUUUAUUGAUAAGCUUUCUAUCCCUUUUUCCCUCUCUUCUUCUCCUGGGACUCCAAUAAUGUGUAGAUUGUUUCUUUUAAUAGUAUCUCUUAUAUAGGCUUUCUUCUCUCUUUUUCUUCCUUUUUUCUUUUUUCUCCUUUGGACAAUUUCAAAGAAAUUGUCUUCUACUUCACAGACUCUUUCUCCUGCUUGAUCCAGUCUACUGUUGAUGCUUCCUAUUACAUAUUUCAUUUCAUUCAUUGUAUUCUUCAGCUCCAGAAUUUCUGUUUUCUUAUGAUUUCUAUCUGUGUUAAACUUUUUAUUUUGUUCAUGUAUUGUUGUCCUGACUUCAUUGUAUUGUCUUUGUGUUUUCUUGUAGCUCACUGAGUUUCCUUAAGACAAUUAUUUUGAGUUCUUUAUUGGGAAAAUUGCAGAUCUCCAUUUCUUUAUUUUGGUUACUAGAAAAUUGUUUUGUUCAUUUAGUGGUAUCAUAUUUCUUUGGUUUUUCAUGUUUCUUGAAGUCUUACUUUGCUGUGUUUGCAUUUGAAGUGGCACUCACCUUCUCCAUUCUUUACUGACUGGCUUUGGGAGUGAAAUACCUUCCACCAGCCCUAUUUGUAAUUCUGAGCCUAUUCUCAUACCUUUUUUAUGGAUAUCCCUUCUCCACACUUCUUUUUUCCCCUUGUGGCAGAAUUCUUAAGAUUGUAUGCUUUCUCUCAAUCCUGAAAAGCCAGGCCAGGUACUGACUGUAUCCCUUUUGCUUUUUCUAAUGUAGUGCUGAAUGCUCAAGCUUGUGUAAUUUCUCCCAGGCCCACAUACUUGGGCCAGCUUUCUGCACACACUCACUAGCCAUCUGCAAAAGCCUUCUUUCACUGCCAUUGAGAGUGUGUACAGGGAUCCCACCUUGGGGUGAGAGGUGUGUGUGGGGUGAGGCACACAGAGCAUUGAAUGUGUCCAUGGGCCAGUUGGAGGAAUCUGCAGGCAAGGCAUACCCAGUGGCUCAUGAUUGGACUUCCUGAUGGAGUCUGUGAAGUGGUCAGUAAGAUCUGUAUCCCUUUGAUGACCUCUGAGGGCUCUGUCUGCUGUUCUCUCACCUGUUUUCUGCUCUCUAGUCACGUAGCACAUCUUAGUAUUCUGGAUGGGAUGAGAAAUAAGUGGGUGCAUCCCACACAGCUGGGAAAUCUGGGUGCUUACUCAUACAAUUUCACUUUACCCCAUGGAAGAAAUCACAGGCCAAGGAGGUCUCUCUGGUACUG